CGCGCCGUAGCUCAGUCGGUAGAGCCUUGGCGCGCAGGUUCAAAUCCUGCUGGCGCGA
Molecule: transfer RNA, 58 nt
Filed under: Acidobacteriota bacterium
Lineage: Bacteria; Pseudomonadati; Acidobacteriota
Description: Acidobacteria bacterium (wastewater metagenome) tRNA-OTHER
Rfam family: tRNA
About the family: Transfer RNA (tRNA) molecules are approximately 80 nucleotides in length.
Source: RNAcentral